CGGGACGGGUGAGUAACGCGUGGGUAACCUGCCUCAUACAGGGGGAUAACAGUUAGAAAUGACUGCUAAUACCGCAUAAGCGCACGAGAUCGCAUGAUAAAGUGUGAAAAACUCCGGUGGUAUGAGAUGGACCCGCGUCUGAUUAGCUGGUUGGUGGGGUAACGGCCCACCAAGGCGACGAUCAGUAGCCGACCUGAGAGGGUGACCGGCCACAUUGGGACUGAGACACGGCCCAAACUCCUACGGGAGGCAGCAG
RNAcentral lists this ribosomal RNA (256 nucleotides) under uncultured bacterium. RNAcentral's name for it is "partial 16S ribosomal RNA". It matches the Rfam family "Bacterial small subunit ribosomal RNA", at positions 98 to 354 of the family's 1533-position model. The record is from RNAcentral.